RNAcentral lists this ribosomal RNA (254 nucleotides) under uncultured bacterium. RNAcentral's name for it is "partial 16S ribosomal RNA". It matches the Rfam family "Bacterial small subunit ribosomal RNA", at positions 524 to 776 of the family's 1533-position model. The record is from RNAcentral.
UACGGGGGGAGCAAGCGUUGUUCGGAUUUACUGGGCGUAAAGGGCGCGUAGGCGGCCACCGCAAGUCGGUUGUGAAAUCUCUGGGCUUAACCCAGAAAGGUCAACUGAUACUGUGCGACUAGAGUGCAGAAGGGGCAACUGGAAUUCUCGGUGUAGCGGUGAAAUGCGUAGAUAUCGAGAGGAACACCUGCGGCGAAGGCGGGUUGCUGGGCUGACACUGACGCUGAUGCGCGAAAGCCAGGGGAGCGAACCGG